GGGUGUCCAAAGCGAACUUUUCCACUAUCUCUAAGCUUGCCAAGUUGUUGCAGCCCCCUCCAUCAAUAAUCACACGACAUGAACGCUCCUAUAUCACACACUUUGUUUGGAACAAGGUGUGGCGCUGAUUUUGUUCAGCCUUCUCCAUUUGUGCACUCAACACUCGUCGCACAAUGAGGCACUCAUAACGAUCUACAUGUUCAGCUCCAAUGUGUUCUUCAACUGGAUCCUCAUCUCCACCUGCAUGGUCAGCGGCAAGCAAAGCAUAUGUUUCUUCAUCCAUAUCACUAGCAGAGGAAUA
Molecule: long non-coding RNA, 301 nt
Filed under: Setaria viridis
Lineage: Eukaryota; Viridiplantae; Streptophyta; Magnoliopsida; Poales; Poaceae
Description: long non-coding RNA (SVIR_LNC000355)
Source: RNAcentral